This 349-nucleotide ribosomal RNA is filed under the name Goniosoma varium. RNAcentral describes it as "partial large subunit ribosomal RNA". Lineage: Eukaryota; Metazoa; Arthropoda; Arachnida; Opiliones; Gonyleptidae. The record is from RNAcentral.
UCAGAUCACGUAAUAUAUUAAUAGUCGAACAGACUAACCUUUCUAAAUUUCUUCACCCAAAAUAAAAAUUAAUUCAACAUCGAGGUCGCAAACCUAAUUAUUAAUAAGAACUUACCAAUUAAAUUACGCUGUUAUCCCUAGAGUAACUAAAUUAAAUUUAACUUAAAAUAUUAAAAAUUUACCUCUUCAAAAAUUGCCCCAAUUAAAAGUUUAAUAACUUCCUAGCUUCUAGGGUCUUCUCGUCCCAAGGAUUUAUAAAAACAUUUUUAAUUUUAAUUUAAAUUCAAAAUUUUUAAAAUAAAACAUCCCCUUUAGUAUCUACCAUUCAUUCCAGUUUUCAAUCAAAAAA